Long non-coding RNA from Cyanistes caeruleus (blue tit), 232 nucleotides. RefSeq lists it as uncharacterized. The record is from RefSeq and is a predicted model, not a curated record. Lineage: Eukaryota; Metazoa; Chordata; Aves; Passeriformes; Paridae.
GCCAGAACUUCUUCAUUUUUACAUCCUUGUUUCUUAUUCUGAGGGAACAACAAAGCAGAAGUAUUGUCAGAAGCUGUUGCAACAUCAGGAUUGAAAGCUGUCUCUAUGAGAGCAGAAGAGGAAUCCCCUGGGUUUUUUGCAGCAAAGGCCAUGUUCAGCAUGCUGAGCCAUGCCAGGAAGCUGGAGUCUGAAGAAACCCAAACAUCCUUUCAUACUCACCAAGGAAACAACU